GGCUCAGUCGGUAAGAGCAUGAGACUCUUAAUCUCAGAGUUGUGGGUUUGAGCCCAGAAGCA
This 62-nucleotide transfer RNA is filed under the name Podarcis lilfordi (Lilford's wall lizard). Its description in RNAcentral is "tRNA.Lys". It matches the Rfam family "tRNA", at positions 9 to 63 of the family's 71-position model. Rfam says of the family: Transfer RNA (tRNA) molecules are approximately 80 nucleotides in length. Their secondary structure includes four short double-helical elements and three loops (D, anti-codon, and T loops). Further hydrogen bonds mediate the characteristic L-shaped molecular structure. tRNAs have two regions of fundamental functional importance: the anti-codon, which is responsible for specific mRNA codon recognition, and the 3' end, to which the tRNAs corresponding amino acid is attached (by aminoacyl-tRNA synthetases). tRNAs cope with the degeneracy of the genetic code in two manners: having more than one tRNA (with a specific anti-codon) for a particular amino acid; and 'wobble' base-pairing, i.e. permitting non-standard base-pairing at the 3rd anti-codon position. Lineage: Eukaryota; Metazoa; Chordata; Lepidosauria; Squamata; Lacertidae. The record is from RNAcentral.